UUGCGUUUCAAACUGGCUAAUUUUACAACAAUGCGAGAUUAGAUUGGUUACUGAGUCGAAGGUCCCUACUAAACGACUUUUGAUUGGGCAGCGCGUUUCUCUGGUAACAGUAAACGGAAACAACAUUGAACUCGGUGUCGUCUAAAAUGAUGGUCAUGUACUUUUGCGUGUCAUGUUGUAACAAUUGGAUUUAACUAGAUAACUAAAUAGCAAGUUGUAGUAGCGCCAUACGUUUACAAUACUAGCUAGCUGUAUCGAGACAGACUAUUUGAUGACAAUGGAUUUUACUCCAUAUUAUAUGCCUAAAUGAAUUAGUGAGAUCUGGAGCCAUGCUUGCUAGUUGCUGGUAUUCUUCGCUGAUCAGAGGAAUGAACUAAAGAAAAUAAACCGUCACAAGAGACACAAUGUCACAAUGACAAGUGAAAUGAAGCCGGAAAUGCACCUCCACCCCCAAUCCGAGACUGUAUACCCUGUUUCCAACAGACGAUGUGGUUCAGGGAUUGGACUACAGCCACACUAAGACACUCAAGUCAUCAUCGGAUACUAGCAUACAAGAGAAAGAGUUGGCGCAGAAGAUAAUGCUUACCACAGGCAGUGCAGUGCCCUUUCUCAAAACACUCAUUCUUGUAUUGGAAAGAGGUUAUAAACUACAGUUGAUAGGGGUGAGAUUAAACUGUGUAUUACCGUGUAUUACUAGAUCCCAUUUGUAAAUGCCACCUUUGUUUGAGAUAGAGGAAAUGCACCUGGGCCUGUGUUGAAAUGGGAUGCAGCUCACAUCCUCUUCUAGUCUGUAAGAGGUUCAAUCUGUUCCAGGACAAUAAUCACAAUCCAUUUGACUUUCCUCCCCCUGGUAUUUUAGCUCAGGUACGUGAGACUAUUCAGGACCUUGAAAUAGUAGACAAUAGAGAAAUUAGAGAAUAAUGCCCGGGGCUAAAACUGAUUGAAAAAGUAUU
Oncorhynchus masou masou (cherry salmon) is the source of this 953-nucleotide long non-coding RNA. RefSeq lists it as uncharacterized. The record is from RefSeq and is a predicted model, not a curated record. NCBI's taxonomy places the organism in Eukaryota, Metazoa, Chordata, Actinopteri, Salmoniformes, Salmonidae. The transcript is spliced from 3 exons.